AUUGAACGCUGGCGGCAGGCCUAACACAUGCAAGUCGCACGAGUGGCGGACGGGUGAGUAAUGUAUGGGAAACUGCCUGAUGGAGGGGGAUAACUACUGGAAACGGUAGCUAAUAACGCCUACCAUCGGAUGUGCCCAGAUGGGAUUAGCUAGUAGGUGGGGUAAAGGCUCACCUGGGCGACGAUCCCUAGCUGGUCUGAGAGGAUGACCAGACAAACUGGAACUGGGACACGGGCCAGACGCCUACGGCAGGCAGCAGUGGGGAAUAUUGCACAAUGGGCGCAAGCCUGAGGCAGCAAUGCCGCGUGUAUGAAGAAGGCCGUCGGGUUGUAAAGUACUUUCAGCGGGGAGGCGUUACCCGCAGAAGAAGCACCGGCUAACUCCGUGCCAGCAGCCGCGGUAAUAC
RNAcentral lists this ribosomal RNA (406 nucleotides) under uncultured bacterium. RNAcentral describes it as "partial 16S ribosomal RNA". It matches the Rfam family "Bacterial small subunit ribosomal RNA", at positions 29 to 526 of the family's 1533-position model. The record is from RNAcentral.